RNAcentral lists this transfer RNA (81 nucleotides) under Apaloderma vittatum (bar-tailed trogon). It matches the Rfam family "tRNA". From Rfam's summary of the family: Transfer RNA (tRNA) molecules are approximately 80 nucleotides in length. Their secondary structure includes four short double-helical elements and three loops (D, anti-codon, and T loops). The record is from Rfam by way of RNAcentral. Lineage: Eukaryota; Metazoa; Chordata; Aves; Trogoniformes; Trogonidae.
GGCCGGUUAGCUCAGUGGUUUGAGCGCGGUGCUGACAACAAUGACAACACCAAGGUCGCGGGUUCGAUUCCUGCUCGGUCC